Molecule: long non-coding RNA, 526 nt
Organism: Danaus plexippus (monarch butterfly)
Lineage: Eukaryota; Metazoa; Arthropoda; Insecta; Lepidoptera; Nymphalidae
Exons: 3
Source: RefSeq, a predicted model, not a curated record
AAUGAGUUAUACAUUGUUAUUCUUCUUUUACUGUGCUCGAUUCUUCUAUAAACGAAAAGCGGUCGAUAAACAUAAUUGCUUUCGGCGGGAAACAUUGAUUCCGCAUUUUGCAAUUCUUCAGUUAUCCGAGAAGCUAAAAGUAAUGAGAAGAACAAACGUAAUUACUUUUAUAAGGAAAUCCAACCGGUCUAAUUGAUAAUAAUCUUACUAAUGGACAAUAAUUAACAGUAAAAUACAUUGUGAGUGGGCUUACUAAUGUGUAAUCGGGAAUCCAGCUAAAAUCUAAUGUCACAGACGGCGACACGAAGUUGAAACACUCGCAGACCUACGUUAGAGUGAAUAUGUUUCCAUACACCACCAAGUUAUUUUUUUUUUAUAAAAUUUGACAAAGGAAAAUAUCUAUUGUAGGUUUAAUUGUAAGUGAAACUUUGUUCUCUUUGUAAUUGUUUCUAUACUUUUAUACUUAGAUCAGGUUUACCUAUAUAGAAAGUUCACAAAGUAGGUAGGUAUAUAUAGCAAAAUUCAG